This 253-nucleotide ribosomal RNA is filed under the name uncultured bacterium. RNAcentral's name for it is "partial 16S ribosomal RNA". It matches the Rfam family "Bacterial small subunit ribosomal RNA", at positions 524 to 776 of the family's 1533-position model. The record is from RNAcentral.
UACGAAGGGGGCUAGCGUUGUUCGGAAUUACUGGGCGUAAAGCGCACGUAGGCGGAUUUGUUAGUCAGGGGUGAAAUCCCGGGGCUCAACCUCGGAACUGCCUUUGAUACUGCAAGUCUCGAGUCCGAGAGAGGUGAGUGGAAUUCCUAGUGUAGAGGUGAAAUUCGUAGAUAUUAGGAAGAACACCAGUGGCGAAGGCGGCUCACUGGCUCGGUACUGACGCUGAGGUGCGAAAGCGUGGGGAGCAAACAGG